Molecule: ribosomal RNA, 253 nt
Filed under: uncultured bacterium
Lineage: Bacteria
Description: partial 16S ribosomal RNA
Rfam family: Bacterial small subunit ribosomal RNA
Source: RNAcentral
UACAGAGGUCUCAAGCGUUGUUCGGAUUCAUUGGGCGUAAAGGGCGCGUAGGCGGCGGGGUAAGUCGGGUGUGAAAUCUCAGAGCUCAACUCUGAAACUGCACUCGAUACUGCUCUGCUUGAGGACUGGAGAGGAGACUGGAAUUCACGGUGUAGCAGUGAAAUGCGUAGAUAUCAGGAGGAACACCGAUGGCGAAGGCAGCUCGCUGGGACGGUACUGACGCUGAGACGCGAAAGCGUGGGGAGCGAACAGG